RNAcentral lists this ribosomal RNA (498 nucleotides) under uncultured bacterium. RNAcentral describes it as "partial 16S ribosomal RNA". It matches the Rfam family "Bacterial small subunit ribosomal RNA", at positions 29 to 523 of the family's 1533-position model. The record is from RNAcentral.
AUUGAACGCUGGCGGCAUGCCUUACACAUGCAAGUCGAACGGUAACGCGGGGCAACCUGGCGACGAGUGGCGAACGGGUGAGUAAUGCAUCGGAACGUGCCCAGUAGUGGGGGAUAGCCCGGCGAAAGCCGGAUUAAUACCGCCUACGACCUACGGGUGAAAGGGGGGGAUCGCAAGACCUCCCGCUAUUGGAGCGUCCGAGGUCAGAUUAGGUAGUUGGUGGGGUAAAGGCCUACCAAGCCGACGAUCUGUAGCUGGUCUGAGAGGACGACCAGCCACACUGGGACUGAGACACGGCCCAGACUCCUACGGGAGGCAGCAGUGGGGAAUUUUGGACAAUGGACGCAAGUCUGAUCCAGCCAUGCCGCGUGCGGGAAGAAGGCCUUCGGGUUGUAAACCGCUUUUGUCAGGGAAGAAACGGUUCUCUCUAAUACAGAGGGCUAAUGACGGUACCUGAAGAAUAAGCACCGGCUAACUACGUGCCAGCCGCCGCAGUAA